Molecule: ribosomal RNA, 492 nt
Filed under: uncultured bacterium
Lineage: Bacteria
Description: partial 16S ribosomal RNA
Rfam family: Bacterial small subunit ribosomal RNA
Source: RNAcentral
AGUGAACGCUGACGGUAGGCCUAACACAUGCAAGUCGAACGGCAGCACAGUAAGAGCUUGCUCUUACGGGUGGCGAGUGGCGGACGGGUGAGGAAUACAUCGGAAUCUACUUUUUCGUGGGGGAUAACGUAGGGAAACUUACGCUAAUACCGCAUACGACCUACGGGUGAAAGCAGGGGAUCUUCGGACCUUGCGCGAUUGAAUGAGCCGAUGUCGGAUUAGCUAGUUGGCGGGGUAAAGGCCCACCAAGGCGACGAUCCGUAGCUGGUCUGAGAGGAUGAUCAGCCACACUGGAACUGAGACACGGUCCAGGCUCCUACGGGAGGCAGCAGUGGGGAAUAUUGGACAAUGGGCGCAAGCCUGAUCCAGCCAUACCGCGUGGGUGAAGAAGGCCUUCGGGUUGUAAAGCCCUUUUGUUGGGAAAGAAAAGCAGCAGGUUAAUACCCCGCUGUUCUGACGGUACCCAAAGAAUAAGCACCGGCUAACUUCGUG